This 13386-nucleotide long non-coding RNA is filed under the name Lynx pardinus (Iberian lynx). The stretch from base 2511 to 2583 matches the Rfam family "tRNA". The record is from RNAcentral. Lineage: Eukaryota; Metazoa; Chordata; Mammalia; Carnivora; Felidae.
CCAGUAAGGGGCCAUCACAAGGAGAGGAGGACUGGCACGGCAGAAGCUUCACCUUACCUUUACAGCCACACUUCUUGCAGGUGGUGUUCAGGACAGCCUCGAGGGUGAUCUUCUGCCCAGUGUAAUCCUGGAAGGACCGCCUCCGCCUCUCUUCCUGCCUGUAACGAAAAGGACACUGACUGACGGCCCUCUUAAGAGAUGUGCCAGAGAUACUAGAAGGUAAUGCCGUAUACUGGUUUUUGUUUUGUUUUUUGGCAGGUAGAAGGAAAAAAGAAGGAAAAGCGUCGUGCGUGAGGAGACGAGUAGCGAAAGCAGCGCCAUGAAACAGAUGAUUUUUUUCAUUCAGGACAGGCUCUGAAUUAAUAAUUAUGAAUGAGACAACUUCAGCUCACCGAAGCACAGAGGAUAAAGCUGUGAUUACUCACCUCACUAAGCCCCCUAUAACCCUGACAAGGUCACUCCUGGGGUUUAAAAGACCUCCAAAGGCUUCCUAAAAAAUCAGGUCCAAAUCCCUUACUUUGGUGCUUGAGGCCUUUCCCAGUCUGGCUCUAACCUGCUUCUCUGGCCCCUUCUUUACUUGUACGAGAUGCUCUAGCCAAACAGGUUUAGUUUGCCUUCUCCAGAUGGUUCGCUGCCCUCACCUGGCCAGUUCCCUCCCCCUGAAAUGCUGCCUCCCCUCUCUCCUCCCACCUCACCACCCCCAAACAUCUCAAGGCUCAGUCAAUGACCAUCUCUCUUUCUAUCAGGUCUUCUCUCGAGCCCUCAGCCAGAAUUCAUCUCUUUGUUCACGUUCCUGUAGCGCUUCUUAAAAGUUCUAAAGGUACUACUAACGUAUAUGUGCAAAAAGGCGUUCAUAAGCAUACAGCUUGACCAGCUUUCACGAUCUGGACACACCUAGGAAACCAGGAUUCAGACAAGGAAACAGAAGGCGGCCAGCACCUCCAAAGCCCCGUUAGUCACCAUGCCUCCCCCAAGGGUAACCGCUACUCUCAUUUCUAACAGCAUAGUUUCAUGGAUUUUUGUAAAUUAUGUGAAGGGAAUCCUAGAGUACGGACGCUUCUCUGUUUGACUUCUUUCACUUGCUCGGGAGAUUCAUCUGUAUUGCUGUGUGCACUUAUGCGUCACCAAUUCUCACUGCUGCAAAGUAUUUAGCUGUCGAGAGGUAUCUGAGUAGUCUCUAUCAGGAACAGUGCUUCUGUGAACUUUCUAGCACGUCCUUCAGUGAACAGAUAUAUACGCAUUUCUGUUGGGAAAUGCCUACUUCCAGGGAGCAGAGGAACAGUAUACUGGGCUGUAGGGCAUCAGCUGUAGCAGACACUGCCGGCCGGUUUUCUGUGGCGUUUACCAAUUACACUCCUACCAGCUGUCAUGGCUUUCUUUGACCUUUACUGUAACACACAGUACCUGCACAGAGUGGGCACUCGGGAAUGUUCGAUCGCAGUGUUACCCUCGAUCACUCUUUCUUUCAAACUCAAACUGUAGUCAAACACACUUCAGUCCCAUGGCACAUCACACUUUAUAGCCUGAUGCCCUGACGUUUCUUCUCUGGACUGUGAGCCCUUUCUACAACACCUUACUUGUCUUUGUUCUCCCAGCACCUUAGCCCAAGGCUUAGCAAGCGACCACAUCAAUGAGUGAAUGCUGAAAUUUCUGUGGUCUUGACCCCAAAUGUUUUUUCUUUACCUAAACCUCUUUAACUUUGAACACUGACUUCACCUAAGCUUUCCAACUAUUCUCCAGGUCUCUAGAGAGUCCAGCAAAACCAGAAAUAUUUUGCCAAAAACACCCCCUCACCCAGAGAAAUGCAGGAUGACCAUAUCAAAGCAGAACAAAACUGCCCACCUCACAUAUUUUAGUUCACAGUUUCAUGGGAUACGCAGGCUCAAGAGAGGAAACAGAAAAGACCGAGAUACUCCGUAUUCUGUCCUGGUCAUUCUUCAGUUCAGCUCACACACAUCUUCUCUAACAUGUUCCCUGCUACCACAGGCAGAGUUAAUGACUCUUCUGUGCUCCCACACCAGUUGACUCUCUGAUCAUUUUGUUACAUUUGUUUACAUUGUGGCUCACCCUCCUACCCCGAGCAGGACUUCAAAGAUAAAGUCCAUGUCUGACUUUUCCCGAUAUCUGAACAGCAAGCAUGUUCUCUAGCAUACUGCUGUCCCACAGAAUGCAAUGAUGGACAAGUUCUCCAAGUUUAUGUCUGUACUGCUGACUAAUAUUUAUAUCUGUGGCUACUGAGCGCUUAAAAUGUGGUUAGUGUAACUGACAAAUUAGAUACUAAAUUUUAUUUAAUUUUAACUUACAUUUAAAUAACCAUACGUAACUUAGUGGCUACCUAGUGGGACAGUGCAGACAAGCGUCAUAAAUUCUGAAAAUGUCUGCUCAAAUCCCCAGCUUUUGCCCUAGGAUAAUCUUACUCAAAGAAUAGGGGGUCACUGUCUAGCAUGGGUCAUGGGAGAGGGUCCUUUCAAAGAGUAAAGCUUGAGUAACAGAAACCAAGGUGAGGGGACACCUGGCUGGCUUAGUGGGUGGAGCAUGUGACUCUUGAGCUUGGGGUUGUGAGUUCAAGCCCCAUGCCGGGUGUGGGGAUUACUUAAAAAAAUAAAAUCUUUAAAAAAACAAAAACAGGUACCUGGGUGGCUCAGUUGGUUGAGCGUCAUGACUUCGGUCAUGAUCUCACGGUUCGUAAGUUUGAGCCCCACAUCAAGAUCUCUACGCAGAUCUCCGUGCAAGAUCUCAGCACAGAGCCCGCUUUGGAAGCUCUGCCUCCCCUGCCCUUCCCCACUCACACUUUCUGUCUCAAAAAUGGAUAAACAUUUAAAAAAAAAAAAAAAGGUGAGGUGAGUAGAGAGAGAAAUGGGAGUUACUUGUCAAGAGGCAUAAAGUUUCAGUUAAACAAGAUGAACUAAGUUCUAGAGCCCUGCUGUACAACACCGUACCUAGUAAACAAUACCGUAAGUACACUUAAGAUUUUGUUAAGAGGGUAGAUCUCAUGGUAAGUAUUCUUCCCACAAUAAAACUCAUUUUUCUUAAAAACCAGGGCAGGAUCUUGGGGACAUAACUUGAGAAAGUCACACACUUCAUGGCGUUCAGAUGUCCUUAUCUGCGGAGCUGAGUUUCAAGUGAUUAUGAGCUGCAGCUUAAACAAAUCCUCAUUAUAAUCAAUUCCAAUAUUCUGUGGGUCCUAACACACUACAAGCCAAACGUAAGUCCCACUUAAUACUCAAUCCAACAAACGUGUCAUUUACCACAUCUCCCUUUCUGUGCUCACUGUCAUCGCGCUGCUUUAGGCUUCUAACUACAUCACAUCUAAAUGGUAAUAAUCCCCUCACGGGUCUCCCUGCCUCCAAGUUUCCUCCUCCAAUCCAUCCAGUGCACAUAGUUGAAUUAAACUUUCUUUUUUUCAGUUCAACUAUUAAGUGGUAGGCAUCGGUGCGAGUACUAGGGAUAUAAGUACGUUAAAAUGACAGAACAUGGUCCUUCUCCUCAAGGAGCUAACAGACUAGCAGCAGAGGGAGACAUACACACGGGUAACUACAGUGGUGAAACAUAAAUACUCUUUUUUUUUUUUUAAGUUUAUUUAUUUAUUUUGAGAGAGAGAGAAAGCAUGAGCGAAGGGGCAGAGAGGGGGAGAGAGAGAGAAUCUCAAGUAGGUUCUGCACGGUCAGUGCGGAGCCCCACGCAGGGCUCAAACUCACAAACCGUGUGAUCACGACCUGAGCCAAAAUCAAGAGUCAGAUGCUUAACAGACUGACCCACGCAGCUGUCCCCCAUAAAUACUCCUCUAAAAGACUAUGCUAUACUGGCUAAACCUACCUGGAAACUGUCUUUCACCCUUUCCAUUUACAGAUUCACUUUAACACUCUGGGACUGAAGGGACGAAAUGUAAGACAUAUAUUGAUGAAAAACAAAAGGCAGCUGACGGACUGGGUGGCUGGAGACAGCACGAGGACACUGAGCAUAAGAAGGCAAGGUCAGAGAAUGGGACAUAAGGGGAGAUUAAUCUGAUCAGGUGCCUCUACUCCUCCUCAAAGGCUUUAAGAAAAUUAAUACUACUCUUUGGCUGAUAGUCAAGUCAAAGCUCUCUACAAUCUGACCCCAACAUACCUUUUAAGCCCUACAUUCUAGACCUUGACCACACCCCCCCUCUUUUUUUUUAAUUUACAUCCAAAUUAGUUAGCAUAUAGUGCAACAAUGAUUUCAGGUGUAGAUUCCUUAGUGCCCCUCACCCAUUUAGCCCAUCCCCCCUCCCACAAUCCCUCCAGUAACCCUCUGUUUGUUCUCCAUAUUUGAGAGUCUCUUUGUCCCCCUCCGCUUCUAUAUUAUUUUUGCUUCCCUUCCCUUAUGUUCAUCUGUUCUGUGUCUUACAGUCCUCAUAUGAGUGAAGUCAUAUGAUAUUUGUCUUUCUCUGACUAAUUUCGCUUAGCAUAAUACACUAUAGUUCCAUCCAUGUAGUUGCAAAUGGCAAGAUUUCAUUCUUUUUGAUUGCUGAGUAAUACUCCAUUUUGUGUGUGUGUGUGUGUGUGUGUGUAUCACCUAUAUCCAUAUAUAUCCACAUAUAUCCAUCAAUGCACAUUUGGACUCUUUCCAUACUUUGGCUAUUGUCGAUAGUGCUGCUAUAAACAUUGGGGUGCACGUGUCCCUUCGAAACAGCACGCCUGUAUCCCAUGGAUAAAUGCCUAGUAGUGCAAUUGCUGGGUCGUAGGGUAGUUCUAUUUUUAAUUUUUUGAGGAACCUCCAUACUGCUUCCAGAGUGGCUGGACCCCCCUCUUUUCUUAAACAAGACUCCUAAAUGUGCCCUGUGUUUUCCUGUCUCAUGCCUUUCCUUAACCCCUUUCUUCUAUAUGGAAUAGCACUCCCUUCCCUGCUGCCUGACAAAAUUGUAUCCAUUCUUCUAGACCUAGCUCAAAUGCAACCUCUCUUCUAACUAUCAGGGACUGAAACUAACUUGUCCUCUUUAAGCUAAUUCCUAGAAUUCUUCCUUUAAUCCAUUCUUUUGGCAUUUAUCCCACUUGCCUUCUAUUAAAGUUAUUUGCAUAAUGAUCUCAUUACACUAGGCCCUAAGGCCCUUAGGCAGAAACCUUGGUAUUGCCACUGCACCUAAUGUAGAACACGAACCUCUAAGAUAAUUGUUGAAUAAAUGAGUAAAAGAAAGCCCCAGCUAAAUGAGAGAUACACAUCAGGCACGAUGGGAGAUAAGAAAGAGGUGCAACCCCUGUUCUCCUGGGUCUUACAUAUUCUUUCAAAAGAAAAGGUGUGCUAACCAAAGAGAAAAAUGAGAUCUUUGAAAACAAUAACUACAAUGGGGUGCCUGGGUGGCUCAGGCACUUGAGUGGCGGACGUCAGCUCAGGUCAUGAUCUCACGGCUUGUGAGUUCGAGCCCUGCAUUGGGCUCUGUGCUGUCAGCUCAGAGCCUGGAGCCUACUUCAGAUUCUGUGUCUCCCUCUCUCUCUGUCCCUUCCCUGCUCUCACUCUGUCUCUGUCUCAAAAAUAAAGAUUAAACAAGAUUAAAGAGGGGUGCCUGGGUGGCUCAGUCCGUUGAGCAUCUGACUUUGGCUCAGGUCAUGAUCUCUUUCAUGAGUUCGAGCCCCACAUCAGGUUCUGUGCUGACAGUGCAGAGCCUGGAGCCUGCUUCGGAUUCUGUCUCCCUCUCUCUCUGCCCUUACUCUGCUCACACUCUAUCUCUCUUUCUCAAAAAUAAAUAAACAUUAAAAAAAAUUUUUUUAAAAACCAGUAACUACAAGUAGCCACCAUCUGUUAAGUUUCUACUGUAAACUAGAUGCUAAUCUGGCUCUUUACAAACAAGACUGUAUCGAGAUCAUUCCAUCAUUUCUGAGAUGUAGGUAUCAUUCUCUCCAACUGAUAGUGAAGAAGCUGAGGUUCAGAGACUCAAGGUGGUCUGUUCAAGGCCAUACAUCAGCUUAUAGCAGAACUAGGACUCUUUCUGCUUUACGUAGAACUCUAAAACCUCUUAUCAGUCCACUAUACCAUGCUUCUUUCCUGGAUGCAAUUCUAAAUUUUUUUUUUUCAACGUUUUAUUUAUUUUUGAGACAGAGAGAGACAGAGCAUGAACGGGGGAGGGGCAGAGAGAGGGAGACACAGAAUCGGAAACAGGCUCCAGGCUCUGAGCCAUCAGCCCAGAGCCCGACGCGGGGCUCGAACUCACGGACCGCGAGAUCGUGACCUGGCUGAAGUCGGACGCUUAACCGACUGCGCCACCCAGGCGCCCCACCUGGAUGCAAUUCUAGAAAUAGUUUACAAGUUACUGUUCGGCCACUUGGUUAUUACUAGAAAUAGCCUACACACAGAAACAUGGACACCCCCCAAACCAAGUAAAUGCCAAACUUAAAAUAACCUUACUGAGUUCUGAGUUAUAAAACAUUUCUACUGUAACCAAAAAGUAUUCUGUCAAUAAUCAGACUUACAAAUGUCAAUAUUUGGAGACAAAACUAUAGAAACAUGGAAAAACUCUUAAGUCACAUGCAACAGCUAGAAGCAUCAUGUGUCAAAAACAGGCAUUAGCCUUAAUGUCAAGGAAACCUAGAUUCAGGUCCUUGACCCACUAUAAUUUGCUACUAACCACAGGCAAAUUAUUUAUCACCAAGCAUUAAGUUCAAAGUUAGGAAUCCAGGGGCACCAGGCUGGCUCAGUCAAUGGAGCAUGUGACUCUUGAUCUCAGGGUUGUAAGUUCAAGCCCCACAAUAGGUGUGGAGAUUGCUUAAAAAUAAAAUCUUAAACCCCCCCCCCCAACUAGGAAUAAAAAGUAAAAUGAAGAUAAUACCCAUUUGGAGGUUAUUAGGAGAAUCAGAUACACAAAUGUAUGUAAACUGCCUUGCAUAAUGCCCGGCACAUAAUAUGUAUCCAAUAAAAAUCAAUUCCUUCCCUUUUAGGUAAAAUUCUUAUGUAUCCAAACUGAUUUUGCUUAUGGGACGUGUGGGUGGGUGGCUCAGUUAGUUAAGCACCUGACUUCAGCUCAGGUCAUGAUCUCAUAGUUCGUGAGUUCAAGCCCCACAUGGGGCUCUGUGUUGACAGGUUGGAGCGUGGAGCCUGCUUCAGAUUCUGUGUCUCCCUCUCUUUCUGCCCCUCCCCCACUCGUGCUCUGUGUGUCUCUCUCUCUCCAAAAUAAACAUCAAACUGAUUUUGCUUAGAACUAUAAACACAGGUUUCCAAACUUUUCCCCACCAAGAUCCCACACAAACAUUUAUUUUUUUCUUAUUUUUUAAAUCAAUAACAUAACUCCACUGAGAGCACCCGAUUAGCCUGAGAUAAACAAUGUGCUAUUUUAACAAUAUCAAAAGCAAUAAAAUAAUGUUUUUUUUUUCUUUAGAGAGAGCGUGUGUGCAAGUGGGGUAGAGGGGCAGAGGAAGAGAGAGAGAGAAUCCCAAGUAGGCGCCAAGAUCAGCGCAGAGCCUGAUGCAGGGCUCGAUCCCACAACCCCAGGAUCAGGACCUGAGCCAAAAUCAAGAGUCAGACAUUCAACCAACUGAACCACCCAGGUGCUCUAACGUAUGGUUAACCUGAAGGUAAAUGCAUGAUUUGGCUGGCUUUCUGAAAUACUGGAAACAGUUCAUAAACCCUUCAGGGAACCUUAGGGAACUAGGAACCUCUAAUCAGAAAUCCCACCGGCAUAUAUUCAGGAAAGACUUUGAGACAGAUAGCAAAUUCCCUUGUAUCACCAGACAUUAGCCUACAUGGAUAGCAAAUCUUCCAUUCCUAAAUGAAAGGUCCGAAGAGCCAAUAAAACUAAGAUGUGGUGUUCAGAACACAGUUAUCCCAAGAUGUGUUGCUUCUAGAUUACCCUACCCUCCCACAUGGUCUCUGUCUUCUUUGAGCCCCAGUGCUAGGAGACAAGGAACAGGUGCUUCAUGAAUGCUUGUUGGCUGACUGGUUAAAGGGAUAAAGCAGAAAGAAUAAGGGGAAGGAAACAAAACCACUGAUGGAGCACUUCUGUGCUAGGAGCUUGGCAUGUUAGCAUUCCAUCCUCGAACUCUACACAGCACAGUGUGACCUACACUUCAGACCUCUAAAUCCAAAUAUCACCAAGGCUACUUAACUCCUCAAUAUCAGAGACUAUAUAUGGUAGAGUUCCCAGGUCAGUCUGAUUCACUACAGCAUUCUUUAGUUUGAGAAGCAGAAGGAUUUUAGCCUUUCCAAACCUUUUACCUACUCAAUGAUAACGUUGUUGGGGUCAAGGUCUUUCCCAGUCCCUUGGUUGACGACUUUCAUGGAGAGGGACACUUUUAUCCUAUCAUUUUUCAUCUGUAAAAGACAAAAGGCAAAGUCACCAAAAGUUAAGAGUACAUCAUUUAGACUGCUGAUCUCCAAUUAUCUAACUGAGAAUCAAAGCUUUUAUCAUCAUAACAAACACUGAGCUCCUCUAAUGGUUGAGGUCCUGUGCUGGGAACACUGGGAGUACUAAUGAGAAUAAAUAGAUCUUGUGGCAGAAUAACUGUAGGAAGCAGUUUUUACCGUAGUUUUGUUCCUCUGGGGAGGAAAGACAGAAAUGGCUGCUCAGAAAUUCAAGGCCUGUGGAGGUAGCCAGGCAGAAAAAUAAAAGCCAUUUUUCAAGUUCAGCAUAAUGAUUAGUUCAGAGAUCCAUGAGCCCAGAAUGGGUUUCUGAAACACUCCAGACUAGACUAGAUCCUCCUUUGGACUUGGUCUAGAGCAUCUUUCUUUUUUCUUUUCUUUUCUUUUCUUUUCUUUUGCCUUUUCUUUUCUUUUCUUUUCUUUUCUUUUCUUUUCUUUUCUUUUCUUUUUUCUUUUAGCCACAUUGGUCUUCUUUUGCUCCCUCCAACCCUUGCAGCCCUUCUCCAUUUCAGGGUCUUUGCAUCAGCUGCUCUCCUGGCCUCGAACAUGCUUAUCCCAGCUUCUCACGUGGCCACUGCCUUUCCCUUUAGGUCUCAGCUCAUGUGUCAUUUCCUCAGAGAGCCUGUGCCUGACCACUAAAUCUACCUCUGACGCUGCCUGAGCCCAUUACAGCACUUAUUAGAACUUGCAAUUUUUAAAGAAAUGCUUAUAUUUAUUUGAGAGACAGAGCACACACGUGCAAGCAGGGGAGGGGCGGCGGUGGAACAGAGGAUCUGAAGAGGGCUCAGAUCCUAAGCCACCCAGGCACCCCUAACUUACAAUGAUUUUAUACAUAUGCUUGCUCAUUUUAGUGUUUGUGUCUUCCAGUUACAUUCUGUAUAAGCUCCAUAACAGCUGAUGUCACCUAUGUCUGCUUCGCUCUUAUAUCCCUCAGACUAGUACAUGGAAGCACUCAAACAUUAUUGAACGGCGUCUCUUUCAGCCCUAUCUGCCCCGGCCGUUCUCUGGUGGAGGUCUCGGCGUCUGAUCACAUUUCUCCUGUAGGCUGCCCACACCCGCAGCCCACAUGCCCUCAAGGGAGUUGCUGUUAACAGGGUCCUUCAGACUUUUCUCACUUCCCUCACACUGCAUGGUGCCAGGUGUUAGGAUCAAUAAUGGUAAACUCUGUGUCUGCCCUUGUUUGGGUCCAAACUGAAGUGUACCUGGCAGCUGUUCUCUGAAGUUUGAUAAAGACUCGUCCCAGCAAUUAAGCUGCCUUCUCUCUUUUUGGUUCUUUUCUUUUCUGUUUUUUUUUUUUUUUUCUUGCCACCGGCCAUUUGCAUAAACUUCAGGGAGGAAAGUCUUACAAAUGUGUACUUAUUGCACCACUCUUAUUACAGUUUAUACCACGUUCCUUCUGAGUUUACAGGACAGCGGGCCAGAAGGUUUCAAUUCAGGACAGAAUUCAGCAGCAGGAUUCAAAAAUAAGAUCAUCCGCCACAGUUAAUAACAUAUACACAUUCACCAUCUUGCCCCUAGUUUUCCUUCAUUCCUUCUCACCACAUGAAAGUUGCACAGAACCUUACCUCUCGGCCAAUAAGCUUCACCCACACUUUGUCCCCGACAUCUACUAUCUCAGAGGGCUUAUCCACGCGACAGGAGGACAUGUGAGUUCGAUGGACCAAACCUGGGCACAAGAGGAAAUGAAGUAAAGCACAGGGUAUAUCUGGUAUUUAUACUCUAAAUAACAAGGUAAGGAGAAAAUGGGAGUGGGGAAUUCAUUGUAAAAUGUCUGUUAAUUUAAAACUUUAAAUUAAGACGAUGUGGGAUCAUGUUUUGUAGCUAAUCAACAAAUAUUCUUUAAAAAUAAUGCUCAGGGGCGCUUGAGUGGCUCAGUCGGUUAAGGGUCCAACCUCAGCUCAGGUCAUGAUCUCGAGGUUUUUGAGUUCGAGUCCCACAUUGAGCUGUCUGCUGUCAGCACAGAGCCCGCUUUGGAUCUUCUGUCCUCUCUCUCUCUGCCCCUCCCCGACUUGCAUGCACACACACGCGCGCACACACACACACACACACACACACUCUCUUUCUCUCUCAAAAAUAUACAUUUUUGGGGCGCCUGGGUGGCUCAGUCGGUUGAGCGGCCGACUUUGGCUCAGGUCACGAUCUCGCGGUCCGUGAGUUCGAGCCCCGCGUCGGGCUCUGUGCUGACAGCUCAGAGCCUGGAGCCUGUUUCAGAUUUUGUGUCUCCCUCUCUCUGACCCUCCCCUGUUCAUGCUCUGUUUCUCUCUGUCUCAAAAAUAAAUAAACGUUAAAAAAAAAUUUUUUUUUAAAUAUACAUUUUUAAAAAUAAAUUAAAAAAAUAAUGCUCAAUGUUAGCAAACAUGUGAUACAAUAACCACACUUACACUAGUAAAAACACAAGUCAAUGAAAGUCUCUGAAAGCAAGGGCAUCAAGAUGUUUUUACCUUUGAUGCACGAAUAUCAUCAUUAGAAUUUUUCCAAAAGAGAAAACCCAAUAAAGGCAAAAGACCUAUGGGUAUGGAAAAAUACCUGCAGUAUUAUUAUCUAGAAAAGUUUUUAAAAACCUAUAAGGCAACCUAAAUGAUUAGCUUGGUAAACCGUGGUAAAUCAACCAAAUGGAAAAGUAAGCAGCCAUUUAAUUUACAAUUAUGGAAAAUAAUUAUGAGAAAUAAGUGAAAAAAAAUCUAAACAAGGUGCUAUUUUUAACCUAUUAAAUUAACAAAAUAUUUAGAAAAUAACAAUACCCACUGGUGAGAGCAUAGUCAAGUAAGAAAUAUUGCUAGGGCUAGUAUAAAAUGUUAGAAAUCAUUUAGCAAUCACUAUCAAGAGUGGUAAAAAUAUUUAAUAAAAUUUGUUAAAAGUUAGGGGCACCUGGGUGGCUCAGGUGGUUAAGCGUCCAACUUUGGCUCAGGUCCUGAUCUCAUGGUUUGUGAGUUCAAGCCCUACAUCGGGCUCUCUGCUGUUAAUGCAGAGCCUGCUUCAGAUCCUUUGUCUCCCUCUCUCUCUGCCCCUCUCCCACUCAUACGCGAGUGCGCACGUACUCUCUCUCAAAAAUAAACAUUAAAAAAAAUUAAAAGUUAAAUAAUAGUCAUUAAAUAAUUUAAUAAAAUAUUUGUAAUAGAUAUCCUUUUCCUGUCUGUCCAAACUCCUUUCCUGGGAGAACCACCUUCCCUAUUUUCUUUUUUUUGUUGUUGUUAGACAAUUUCAGAUUUUUAAAAAGUUUUUAUUUAUUUACAAUCUCUACACCCAAUGUGGGGCUGUAACUCAUGCCUCUGAGAUCAACUUCAGAUUUUUAUGGAAAAAGUUAUUAAAGCAUUAAUCAACAUCACCUUCCCUGCUUUCUAAAAUAAAUCUGGUCAGUUCAUGUGAUUUGGUUGAAGCUGACACAACCCCCAACUAUGGACACAUGACACAAGCUUAGUCAAUCAAGAUGCCUCACCCAGCUAGCCACAGUAACUGAUUGGUUCAGGGAUAGACACGAGACAUUAGCUAAAUCAAUUCAUCUUUUUCAAGAUGUUGGGAUUACGAACUACAAAAAUUUACCAAUGCCCAUAUUAACCACCAGGUGGCAAGAUGUGACCAAAGGUAAGAGACCAAGCCCUCAGGGUGUAAUCUCAGCACCUGAUAGAGCCCUAGGGAAGCCAGAUUUAUCCUGCACAUCCCAAUGGGAAGAGUCAAAACAUUUCUCAACUGUUUCUGUCCCUUGCAACCAAGAGUUCUGACUAAAUUAAUUUGACCCAUAAUCACUUCUGGGAAUCUGUCCAAAGGAAGUAAUCAUAUACACAGAAAAAGUGAUAUGCAUCAGGAAAAGUGACAUACAUAAAAAUACUCAUGUAUUUAUAAGACAAAAAAAUUAAAAACAACCUAAUAUUCAACAACAGAGCAAUGGUUAAGUCAACUGUGGUACAGCCAUUGAAUGGUCCAUUAAAAAUGUUGCUUAAAAGAUGAUGUAAAAAUAUAUCCAUAAUUCAUUCUUUAGUAAGCAAACAUCUGAUUGCCGACUCUGUGUCGAGCACUGAAAACAACCAGCAUUUCCCCAUAUAAAUAACAAAAUACAACACAAAAUUGUAUACAGUAUGACUACAAAUGCUUCAAAAAGAUUUUAAAAGUCAGAAUGAUCCAAAAUGCUGUAACAACGAUUAUACUAGUGUACAAGAUUACACGUUCACUUUUUUCUUUAUUUUCAAGUGUUUCAAUAAAGAAAAUUGUCUCUAUUCUGGGGGAAAUAGACACAAUAUACAAUUAUUUUGAAUGAACAUAAACCAGGAAUGUAAACUAGAGAAAAAACUGGUAAGUCAAAGAGUUACGUCUAAAAUGACUGCCCUUCCUUAAGUUUCCUGGGGGAAUUAUUAGCCUGUAUUCUCUCUCUCAAGCUGUCUUGCACAUGUGUGUGCCCACAAAGUCAUCGGCACGGCAGGCACACACCUGUAAUUCGAAGCACCUGGCCUCUGCUUAGAGCUCCUACUGGAAGUCCCUGCUUGCUCUGACCACCGUCACUGGGUCUCACCUACCUAUGUCGGCUCAUUCUGGAGGUUGAUAGCCUAUGAAGAACUCUGGGGCCUCCAAAAUGUGUUAUAUACAUCUUAUACGUUCUUAUGUUUUUAAUUUUAGACACAUCACGUAACCUCCAAAUCGGAUAAAAUUUGUGAAGCUGUAUUUUUUUCCCCCAUGAUGGUGUAAUGGGCAGAGCUGCCUAAUUGGGAAGUCUAGAGGGGAAAUCCAGAUGAUCUGAAGGAAAGGGAAACCUUUCCCUUUGACAUUUUUUGCAACUGUCCUCUCAUGUUAAAAUUUACUUCUUUCCUCUGUUAAUGAAAGUUAUGAAGGAAAUUAAUGUUGAACCUAAUAAUACUUGAGAGAUUUUUUUUCCCCUUUCCUAAAACAGAAGGUCUGUACCACAAACAAGGAAAUAAUGGCACUAACCAUUUGUCCUCCCCUCUGAUCCCAAAGUAGGAUAUUUUUUGGUCCAGGCAUCUCUCCUGGUUCAAUAAGGUAUUUCUCAAAGUAUUAGUAGCGAAAAAUUGAAAACAACUUAAAACAAUUAUGUGGUACAUCUGAAUGACAGAAUAAUGUCAUUUAAAUGUU